CACACAACCAGGACAGGACAGAACUGAAGACUACAUUCGCAGCUCGAGAUCCGGACUCGAACACUGGUGCAGGGUGCGGGAUGAGUUGGCCAAUCGGGGCCCCCCUAGGGGGCGGAGCCAGCCGGUGAGGGGCCCCGUAAAACGGUCCGGCGUUACCGGCAGAGACUCGGCGCGAUGCAAGCGGCGGGUUGGGCGUGGGGGCUGCGCUGGCCGCCGGAGCGGUGUCUCCAACGCUGCGAGCUGAACCCCUAAGGCGCAGAGCCCGCGGCUCCGGCAGGCGGGAGGUGGCCCCGGAGGCUGCCCGGAGGAGGCGGCCCGGUGGAGGUGGGGCCUGCGUGACUCCGCCCCGCAGCUCACCCGGCCCGGCGCAGCGCGGCGCUGCCCGCAGUGCUGCCGGCUCCGGGCGAUGGACGUCCCCGCCGCCCCGGCCCCUGCCGCCCCGGGCCCCGGCAGGAAGGAGCUGAAGAUCGUGAUCGUGGGGGACGGCGGCUGCGGCAAGACGUCGCUGCUCAUGGUGUUCAGCCAGGGCGCCUUUCCCGAGCACUACGCCCCCUCGGUGUUUGAGAAAUACUCGGCUAGCGUGACGGUGGGCAGUAAGGAGGUGACUCUGAACCUUUACGACACGGCCGGGCAGGAGGACUACGACCGCCUGCGACCCCUGUCCUACCAGAACACCCACCUCGUGCUCAUCUGCUAUGAUGUCAUGAACCCCACCAGCUAUGAGAAUGUCCUCAUCAAGUGGUUCCCAGAAGUCACACAUUUUUGCCGAGGGACCCCCAUGGUGCUCAUUGGCUGCAAGACUGAUCUGCGGAAAGACAAGGAGCAGCUGCGGAAGCUCCGGGCAGCGCAGCUGGAGCCCAUCACCUACAAUCAGGGCCUGAGCGCCUGCCAGCAGAUCCGGGCUGCACUCUAUCUCGAGUGCUCGGCCAAGUUCCGUGAAAACGUGGAGGACGUAUUCCGGGAGGCCGCCAAAGUGGCACUCAGCGCACUCAAGAAAGCGCAGCGGCAGAAGCAGCGCCGGCUCUGCGUGCUGCUGUGACCCUGGUCUGGACACAGGGACCUACCUGGGACUUUUGUGAGGUCCCUUUAAGGCCAACCCAGGUGGCCCU
Molecule: RNA transcript, 1109 nt
Organism: Octodon degus (degu)
Lineage: Eukaryota; Metazoa; Chordata; Mammalia; Rodentia; Octodontidae
Gene: Rhof
Gene name: ras homolog family member F, filopodia associated
Exons: 7
Source: RefSeq, a predicted model, not a curated record